CUUAACAUUUAGACCACCCUUCACCCAUCUGGUCUGAUCCCCAAAGCGACACAGUGGUGGGCCUGGUUGGUACUUGGAUGAGAGACCACCUGGAGAUCCGGGGUACUUGGC
RNAcentral lists this ribosomal RNA (111 nucleotides) under Salvator merianae (Argentine black and white tegu). The record is from RNAcentral. Lineage: Eukaryota; Metazoa; Chordata; Lepidosauria; Squamata; Teiidae.